This 498-nucleotide ribosomal RNA is filed under the name uncultured bacterium. RNAcentral's name for it is "partial 16S ribosomal RNA". It matches the Rfam family "Bacterial small subunit ribosomal RNA", at positions 28 to 523 of the family's 1533-position model. The record is from RNAcentral.
GAUGAACGCUAGCGGCAGGCCUAAUACAUGCAAGUCGGACGGGAUUUGGGAGCUUGCUCCUAAUGAGAGUGGCGCACGGGUGCGUAACACGUAUGUAACCUACCUUAAUCAGGGGGAUAGCCUCUCGAAAGAGAGAUUAACACCACAUAAUAUAUUUCUAUGGCAUCGUAGAAAUAUCAAAUAUUUAUAGGAUUAAGAUGGGCAUGCGGAACAUUAGCUAGUUGGUAAGGUAACGGCUUACCAAGGCUACGAUGUUUAGGGGAUCUGAGAGGGUUACCCCCGACAAUGGUACUGAGACACGGACCAGACUCCUACGGGAGGCAGCAGUAAGGAAUAUUGGUCAAUGGGCGCAAGCCUGAACCAGCCAGGCCGCGUGCAGGAAGACGGCCCUAUUGGUUGUAAACUGCUUUUGUACCGGAAUAAACCCUUUUACGUGUAAGAGGCUGAAUGUACGGUAAGAAUAAGGAUCGGCUAACUCCGUGCCAGCAGCCGCCGCGG